This 85-nucleotide microRNA precursor is filed under the name Equus caballus (horse). RNAcentral's name for it is "mir-544 microRNA precursor family". It matches the Rfam family "mir-544 microRNA precursor family". The record is from Rfam by way of RNAcentral. Lineage: Eukaryota; Metazoa; Chordata; Mammalia; Perissodactyla; Equidae.
AUCACAUAGGGAUCUUGUUAAAAUGCAGAUUCUGAUUCAGGAGCCUGAGGUUCUGCAUUUCUAAUAAGCUUUCAGGUGCUGCUGA